UACGUAGGGGGCAAGCGUUGUCCGGAUUUAUUGGGCGUAAAGAGCGUGUAGGCGGCCUGAAAGGUCAGCUGUGAAAACUCGAGGCUCAACCUCGAGACGUCGGUUGAAACCAUCUGGCUAGAGUCCGGAAGAGGAGUGUGGAAUUCCCGGUGUAGCGGUGAAAUGCGCAGAUAUCAGGAGGAACACCGGUGGCGAAGGCGGGUCUCUGGGCCGUUACUGACGCUGAGGAGCGAAAGCGUGGGGAGCGAACAGG
This 253-nucleotide ribosomal RNA is filed under the name uncultured bacterium. Its description in RNAcentral is "partial 16S ribosomal RNA". It matches the Rfam family "Bacterial small subunit ribosomal RNA", at positions 524 to 776 of the family's 1533-position model. The record is from RNAcentral.